This 379-nucleotide unclassified non-coding RNA is filed under the name uncultured Gammaproteobacteria bacterium. Its description in RNAcentral is "contains 16S-23S intergenic spacer region". Lineage: Bacteria; Pseudomonadati; Pseudomonadota; Gammaproteobacteria. The record is from RNAcentral.
UCCGGUCUGUCACCGGCAGUCUCCCUAGAGUCCCCGGCAUUAUCCGCUGGCAACUAGUGAUGGGGGUUGCGCUCGUUGCGGGACUUAACCCAACAUCUCACGACACGAGCUGACGACAGCCAUGCAGCACCUGUGUUACGGCUCUCUUUCGAGCACGCCCGAAUCUCUCCGGGCUUCCGUACAUGUCAAGGGUAGGUAAGGUUUUUCGCGUUGCAUCGAAUUAAUCCACAUCAUCCACCGCUUGUGCGGGUCCCCGUCAAUUCCUUUGAGUUUUAAUCUUGCGACCGUACUCCCCAGGCGGUCAACUUCACGCGUUAGCUGCGUUACCAAGUCAAUUAAGACCCGACAACUAGUUGACAUCGUUUACGGCGUGGACUAC